Acinonyx jubatus (cheetah) is the source of this 3784-nucleotide long non-coding RNA. RefSeq lists it as uncharacterized. The record is from RefSeq and is a predicted model, not a curated record. NCBI's taxonomy places the organism in Eukaryota, Metazoa, Chordata, Mammalia, Carnivora, Felidae. The transcript has 3 exons.
CGGAAGUGAGAGCGUGCUGGGGUCAAAUGGUUGAGGCCAAAUCUGUAAACGGGAGGAACGGGGAUCCCUGGGGAAGGAAUCCGGGCUGAAUUUGAAUCCCUCAGGAGUCAGAGGGACUUAGGAACAGAGCAGGUGGUAGAGAAGACAGUUGGAAGGGAGCAGGAAAAGAGUCUUGGAUUUCAACCGUGAGUGCGCCCAGCUGGAAGCUCAAAGGCGGUGAUCACCAACACCUGCUCACAUCACUAACAGAGUAUGCCUCUUUGCCAGAAAGUCCAGUCUGAAUCUAAAUAAGCCCCAAAUUUAACCACAAGCUUGGAGGAAUACAGAAGACCCAGGAGCAUGUUAAAUCACCCCUUCAAGAUGUUUGGAAUUUUCCAUAAUAAACAAUUGUUUUUGAAAGCCCACUCUGGACAGGGAAAAUGGAAUAUUAUCUUCCUCUUUACAUUCCUGCUACAACAAUCCUAACCUUCCCGGAGGCAAACGGAUGCUCAGAAACUGCACACAGGAUUGUAAUAGAGAAAAGCAACUGACACAUUUCCAAAAAUAUUAUCCCCAUUUCAGAAAAUUUAUUUUUGGUGGAAAAUGCCAAGUUUCAUCUUAUGUGUGUUGACAUUGAGAUUCCCAGUCCCAGCAGGAGUUGAAAAUGCAAGACUCCUGCCUGGGAGACAUAUCAGGGCUGACACUGUAGCUGACAUCACCAGUAGAAAAAGUAUGGGCAGAAAAGGAAAAGACCAGGACUUGGGUAGAGUUUUCCUUCCUUCCUUCCUUCCUUCCUUCCUUCCUUCCUUCCUUCCUUCCUUCCUUCCCUCAUUGAAAAAUAUAUGAGAUAUGUACGUAUGAGGUAUUGGAACCUGGGGGUGGAAAGUGAGGUUUAUUGAGGAAGAAAGGCACUUCAACAAAGAUGUGAAAGCAUUAAGUUCUGUAAUCAAGGUACACAAAAGAUGUAGUGGAUACACAGAAGACCUUUUCAGUUUGUCUGAAGGACAAAUGGUCAUGUUUCAGAAACCAGAGCAAAAAGUGAAGCUGAGACCAGUAGCCAUGUCUUAGUUCUGGAUAAUUAAGAUGUUUUUCUUCCUGGUGAAAGGAACGUUCUUUUUCUGCUAACUUCCUUCCUUGCUGCCUCCUGCUUUUGAAUACAGUAGGAGAGGAUUAUAUUCGGAGCAACUGCAGCUAUCUUGUGACUAGUAGCAAACAAGCAUGAGAACAAAAUAUCAAUAUAUUGAAGAGGCUUGAAAGUGCCUGGGUCCUUGAUGACAUUGCUGAACUGCUAAGCAAACCCUAAACAGUCUACUUCUGGACUUGUUGAGUAAAUAAUAAAUGUUAUUAGAGUGAAGACACUGUUCAGUUGAAUACUCUAUGACUGGCAAUGAUGUGAACUCCCAACCGAUGCAGUGUCUCUUCCCUACCAAACCAUGAAUUACUUGGAGAAGCAGUACAGCAUAAUGGUUCCAAUGAGCCUGUGGUGAUGUUUAUGAGACUACUAAUGACACCAAUGAAAGAUUGGUGUGGGCAGAGGUCAGACUCCAAAAGAGUGAGUGGGUGGUAAAUGUUACCUUCUAGGACGCCCUCGACACGCUGAGGAAGAGUAUAAAAAGAGGUCAGGGUCAAAGCCAAAGAUGGGUGGAGUGAGAAGGUAGGGGGUAAAUGAAUGUCCUUGCCCUCUGGGUGUUCCCUCUCUGGGCUCCUUUUGCCGGGUCCCUUCUCCCACCACACAGAUGAUGUCUCAGACUGGGCUGCCUCCUGCUUUUAUAGCAGCUACAGACACUUUCCUGUCACGAAAAGAGAAAAAGCAAUGGCGUCUUGAGAGAGGAGCAGAAUCAAGGAAAGAGUUUUGUGUUUUGUUUUGUUUUGUUUUUUUAGGGUGGGAAGAUUUGAGCAUGUUUGUGGACCGGAGGGAGGGAGAAACUGAAGGUAGAGAGAAAAGGGGGUAAUUCAAUGGAGCAAGAUUGAGGAGGUAUAAAGAAUCCAGAGACAUAGAGAAAAGGAGGAUUUUUUCUUGUGGGGGAAAAAAAAGGCAAAUUGAAGAGAACCUACAGAGAAACGUUGAGGGGAAGGAAAUUCAGAGACUGUUCCUAACCCACUCAGCCUCAGAAAGUGAGUCGUUUUGGUGAGAUGAAAGUGAGAUUAAACAGAACUUGGUCUCUGGUGGCCUCACGAGUGCUGUUUCCCUGUGGGAUCCCCAGGGUCAAGGGCUCAGACUUUGGCCCUCUGUUUUAGAAAUGAAUUCUGUCCGUAUGAGCAGACUUGCUUAGGUUGUGAGCCCUUGUCCUAUACUAACCUAGUUAGUCACUCCUGGACUUGAGACUUGAGCUCUGUUGGCAAGACCCUCAGCAUUAUAAGUUUCACUGUCGCUAUUUUCAGAAUGAUUUGGAAAGUAAUACUUAUGUCAAAGUGCUGCUGUUAUAAUCAAACCUGGUCACUCGUGUGUGUUACCUUUGAACACAGUGCUCAGGAAAAUGUUAACUGUUAUUAUUUAUUUAACGUUUAUUUAUUUUUGAGGUAGUGAGAGAGAGCAUGAAUGGGGGAGAUGGAGACAGAGGGAGAUAGAGGAUCCGACGCAGACUCUACGCUGUGAGCACAGAGCCCAAUGCAGGGCUCGAGCCCACGAACUGCGAGAUUAUAUCCUGAGCUGAAAUCAAGAGUCAGCCGCUUAACCGACUGAGCCACCCAAAUCUUAACUAUUAUAUCUUAUUCCACAAAGUCAUUGAGCAACUACUGUGUACCCAGCGCUGAGCUGGGUGCUAGGAUACAUGUCAUACUUGUCUUCAAGAUGCUCUUGUUAAUGCCACCAGGGGAAUAAACAUAUGCAGCGGGUAAAAGUUUCCAUUUGAGAAACUCCAGAGAAUCUGGAGUAAAAUGCAUCUAGGGAAUAAAGCCAGAAUGGUACUUAAUUUUUGUUUCAGGAAACAUAACUACCAAGUGGUGGACCCAUGUGGUCAGCUCUAGAAAACAAAAUCAGAACGUUGGUCUGUGAAUGUAGAAUCAGGGCAAAUAAAUUCCUGUCCACCCAAAACCUCAGGACAUGACCUUGUUGGGAAAAGGAGUCUUUCCAGAUGUGAUUAGUUAAGUUAAAAUGAGGUCAUACUGGAUUAGAAUAGGCCCUACAUCCAAAGUUUGUGUCUUUUUGUUUUUAAGUUUAUUUAUUUAUUUUUGAGCGAGAGAGAGAGAGCGCGCACACACACACACACACGCACACGCACAAGUGGGGGGAAGGCAGAGAGACAGGGAGACAUACAAUCUGAAGCAGGCUCCAGGCUCUGAGCUGUUGGGACCCAACAUGGGGCUCGAACCCACAAACUGAGAUCAUGACCUGAGCCUAAGUUGGCUGCUUAACCAACUGAGCCACCUAAGCGCCCCCUAAAGUUUGUGUCUUGGUAAGAAGAGGAGAGGUCACACAGAGACGGAAAAGAAUCAGACGCAGAUGGGAAGGAUGCAGCUACAAGCCAGGGAAUACCUAAAGCCACCAGAAAGGGGAAGAGGAAGGCAGGAGCCUCCCCUGGGGGAAAACAGCCCUGCUAACACUUGGAUUUCUGACUUGUAGCUUCUACAGCUGUGCCAGAAUGCGAGAAGGCGUUGUUAAGCCACCUAGUUUGUGGCCAUUUGUUAUGGCAGCCACAGGAAACUAAUGUAAAAGGCCUGUGGUUUCUGUCCUGGAAGCCAACUGGUGAGCUUUAUUAUGCGGUUCUACCUGCCAAAACCACCACACUCCUCCUGUUGGCUGAUUAAGGCACCUUCUCCCUGCACAGAGCUGGUGCUUUACCCUCCUUUUUGAGGACUUCAGGCU